This 540-nucleotide ribosomal RNA is filed under the name uncultured Leptospirillum sp. RNAcentral's name for it is "bacterial SSU rRNA". It matches the Rfam family "Bacterial small subunit ribosomal RNA", at positions 373 to 905 of the family's 1533-position model. Lineage: Bacteria; Pseudomonadati; Nitrospirota; Nitrospiria; Nitrospirales; Nitrospiraceae. The record is from RNAcentral.
GGGGGAAACCCUGACGCAGCAACGCCGCGUGUGGGAAGAAGGCCUUCGGGUCGUAAACCACUUUUACUCGGGACGAAAAAGGGAUAUCAAAUAAAUAUCCCCGAUGACGGUACCGUGAGAAUAAGCCACGGCUAACUCUGUGCCAGCAGCCGCGGUAAGACAGAGGUGGCAAGCGUUGUUCGGAAUUACUGGGCGUAAAGAGUCUGUAGGUGGUUUGUCAAGUCUUUGGUGAAAGGCCGUAGCUUAACUAUGGGAAUGCCAAAGAGACUGGCAGGCUGGAGGCUGGGAGAGGGAAGCGGAAUUUCUGGUGUAGCGGUGAAAUGCGUAGAUAUCAGAAGGAAGGCCGGUGGCGAAGGCGGCUUCCUGGAACAGUCCUGACACUGAGAGACGAAAGCGUGGGGAGCAAACAGGAUUAGAUACCCUGGUAGUCCACGCCCUAAACGAUGGGUACUAAGUGUGGAGGGGUUAAACCCUCCGUGCCGCAGCAAACGCAGUAAGUACCCCGCCUGGGGAGUACGGCCCGCAAGGUUGAAACUCAAA